ACUCCUACGGGAGGCAGCAGUGGGGAAUAUUGCACAAUGGGGGAAAGCCCAUCGAUGCAGCAACGCCGCGUGGAGGAUGACACAUUUCGGUGCGUAAACUCCUUUUAUAUAGGAAGAUAAUGACGGUACUAUAUGAAUAAGCGCCGGCUAACUCCGUGCCAGCAGCCGCGGUAAUACGGAGGGCGCAAGCGUUACUCGGAAUCACUGGGCGUAAAGAGCGUGUAGGCGGAUCGAUAAGUCAGGAGUGAAAUCCUAUGGCUCAACCAUAGAACUGCUCUUGAAACUGUCAAUCUAGAGUAUGGGAGAGGUAGAUGGAAUUUCUGGUGUAGGGGUAAAAUCCGUAGAGAUCAGAAGGAAUACCGAUUGCGAAGGCGAUCUACUGGAACAUAACUGACGCUGAGACGCGAAAGCGUGGGAGCAAACAGGAUUAUAUACCCUGGUAGGCUCUG
RNAcentral lists this ribosomal RNA (449 nucleotides) under uncultured bacterium. Its description in RNAcentral is "bacterial SSU rRNA". It matches the Rfam family "Bacterial small subunit ribosomal RNA", at positions 335 to 799 of the family's 1533-position model. The record is from RNAcentral.